Molecule: non-coding RNA, 21 nt
Filed under: Caenorhabditis elegans
Lineage: Eukaryota; Metazoa; Nematoda; Chromadorea; Rhabditida; Rhabditidae
Source: RNAcentral
UUUUGGACAAAAAGUCUUCUC